AUACGGAGGAUCCGAGCGUUAUCCGGAUUUAUUGGGUUUAAAGGGUGCGCAGGCGCCCAUUUAAGUCAGCGGUUAAAUCGUGGGGCUCACCCCCAUUCUGCCGUUGAUAUUGGGUGACUUGCUUGCGUUCGAGGUUGGGGGAUUUCUUGGUGUAGCGGUGAAAUGCAUAGAUAGGACGAAGAACACCGAUUGCGUAGGCAGCUGACCAGACCGCAAAUGACGCUCAUGCACGAAAGUGCGGGGAUCGAACAGGAUUAGAUACCCUGGUAGUCCGCACAGUAAACGAUGAAUACUUGUUUUCGGCGAUAUAAUGUCGGAGGCAAAGCGAAAGCGAUAAGUAUUCCACCUGGGGAGUACGCCGGCAACGGUGAAACUCAAAGGAAUUGGCGGGG
RNAcentral lists this ribosomal RNA (392 nucleotides) under uncultured bacterium. RNAcentral describes it as "partial 16S ribosomal RNA". It matches the Rfam family "Bacterial small subunit ribosomal RNA", at positions 523 to 918 of the family's 1533-position model. The record is from RNAcentral.